RNAcentral lists this ribosomal RNA (254 nucleotides) under uncultured bacterium. RNAcentral describes it as "partial 16S ribosomal RNA". It matches the Rfam family "Bacterial small subunit ribosomal RNA", at positions 527 to 779 of the family's 1533-position model. The record is from RNAcentral.
CGAAGGGGCUAGCGUUGCUCGGAAUCACUGGGCGUAAAGCGCACGUAGGCGGACUCUUAAGUCAGGGGUGAAAUCCUGGAGCUCAACUCCAGAACUGCCUUUGAUACUGGGAGUCUUGAGUCCGGAAGAGGUAAGUGGAACUGCGAGUGUAGAGGUGAAAUUCGUAGAUAUUCGCAAGAACACCAGUGGCGAAGGCGGCUUACUGGUCCGGUACUGACGCUGAGGUGCGAAAGCGUGGGGGAGCAAACAGGAUU